UGUGGUCUACCGGCGUCCAACAACCCCUGUCUGAUUUUACCCAAUGUAAUGCCUGUUGUGCUGCUGCCUUGUAUGAAUUUCGUCCACUGGAUGGCAGAAUUUGGCUCAAAAGGAGUUUGCGGACCGUUUCAUCCAACAUGUGCCCAAUCACGCUUUGGCCUAUGGUGGGGCAUCUACUUUUUCUUAUUAAACUCCCGUAACUAAUUUUGUUGACGUAUGAUAGUCUCCCUUUUGUUGGUAUUGUUUCUAACCCAAAAUUGGCUUGCGUUGUUCAAGGCGGACACAGGUACUGACUCAUGGAAUCAUCCCUUUAAAUGGUAUCUUACAUUAAAUCCAAUUUUACCAUGGGCAUAGUAUAAUGUUAAAAGUAAACUGUGCCUUCGUGGUUUUUAAAUCAUUUGGGGAACUAUUUCAAAUAAUUUGCAUGUGGUGCUUAUUAACCUCAGUGCAUACCCAGAGUUUGGUCCAGGGUGAACCCCAGGAAAUGCAGUCUGUAGUGCUGGUAGGGGGUUUGACCAGCAUCUUGUUUUUCAAGAACCUCAUGCAUUUAACUGGUGUACCCGUAAGCUUUGUGAUGGGCCCCCUUCCCUCUUCCCACCUCUUGUCAAUUGCCUGAAUUAACUUUUCUGGUGUCCUGAGAACCAAUAUGUGUAUGCAAUGUGUUAAUACGUGGAGAAGUUCUCUUAUGGUUCCUUUUUUUUGGAACUUACUUUUUUAUUUGUGGUUUUUAUUUGUGUCAACGUUUUUGCUGACCCAACUGACAGCAUGCGCCUCAAAUUGUUUUCCUUUUUGUGCCCCAUGGUCCACGUUUUUGGCUUGUGGUAUGGUGUACUGUACGUUAUUUUGUCUAUAAUGUUAGUUUUGUGGUUGGCGGUCACAUUGGAAUUGCACAUGGUUUUGGAGCGUUCUGCAAAUUUGGAACAAACUUGUAUUAAGGCUGGUGUACUUGGUUGAGGUUGCCCUAUCCAGGAUGCUUUGGUUUUUCCCAUGCAAAGUUACAGAUAGUUUUUUGAGGUAAGAUUUAGGGGAAGCUGUACAUCAAACUUUAUGCAAUUAAUCUUUUAGGUUUUUUAGUGGUUUACCAUUAAGGUCUCAUUGAUUUAUGUUUUUAAUCUACACCCCAACAACCUACAACGGAUUUUGAACUUACUUUUGUCAAAAUGUAAACACCUUUUCGCUCUCUAAGGAUAGUCCACUGUCUGCUCAGUGGUUUCCUGUCAUGUGUGUGCGUGCGCCUUUUUUUUUCCCGCAAUGCGCAGCGAAUGUCGCACGCUGCAAAAAGACGCACGAAACCCAACCAACCACAACACACAAUGCUAGACAGCCAAUCACAACUAAACAUCUACCCAGUGCACAGAACAGUCUGGAAGCCAGCCUGCGCGCCACCACAAGCAAGAGGAGACACUGCGGAAUACCCUUAGCCAUUGAAUUGCUUGAAAGAAAACAGAAGCCGACACAAAGUAGAGCUGUGGAAGUCCCGACUUCAUUGCUUACCGGAAGCCCAUCUUUUGAAGACUGCAAGCAAAAUGUCAGAUUCCAAUACCGAGGCUGAAAGUUCCACUGAAACCCCAGCUCAGACUACCCGUAAACGAUCUCCCCCAUUUUCACGGGCAGAAUUAAUUUUCUUAGUGGCAUACAUGGAAGAAAGGGAAUAUGGCUUUGGCGAAAGAGGCUCAAUCAACAGCA
Hyla sarda is the source of this 1686-nucleotide long non-coding RNA. RefSeq lists it as uncharacterized. The record is from RefSeq and is a predicted model, not a curated record. NCBI's taxonomy places the organism in Eukaryota, Metazoa, Chordata, Amphibia, Anura, Hylidae. The transcript has 3 exons.